GCACAAUGAUACCAACUUUGAUAUCACCUUUAAUUUAACAGGAAAAUCAACAAUGUAUGCCGAAGCUUUCCUCAACCAAUUAAAGAAAACUUGGGCUAUUUUGUGGAUUUCGUGGUCAUCGAGGUGCAGACGAAAGGAACUCAAUAAAGUAGUUGAAGUAGCUAGAAAAAUUACAGUUAGCAGGAAUAUAUUUCUUUGGAUUGUAAAAAAUGUUUUCGAAUAACUGUUAUAUCAAAAUUUAUUGUUUGUUUUGAAGGGCGUCUCACCCCAGAUAAAGUGUGCGAGAUUUUGGGGAUUCUGAAAAUCCGGCUGUGUGAUUUCUCGUAACUGUUGGUGAUUGUAGAGUUAGUUUGUUGGUGUUAGAGUGUAUAGCUCUAGGUAUAUAAUUCGAUUCGUCCAUUAAACUUAUAUGUUGUUAUGCAAGAGGUAAAUAUAAUUUGAUCAAUAAAUCGCAGUAAACGCACAGUUGGUAUACUUCUAUAUUUAUACAAUAAUUAUAAUUUAAAUAUGUAUACAUAUAUACGCAUGUAAGUAUACUAAUUCUAAAACUAUGAACUAUGAAUUAAGAUGUUUAGAACUUGCAAUUAAGAAUGUGUUGAUAUAUCUAUAUUUGUCU
Non-coding RNA from Paramuricea clavata, 616 nucleotides. The record is from the annotation of a GenBank genome assembly. Lineage: Eukaryota; Metazoa; Cnidaria; Anthozoa; Malacalcyonacea; Plexauridae.